This 715-nucleotide ribosomal RNA is filed under the name fungal sp. RNAcentral's name for it is "eukaryotic LSU rRNA". The stretch from base 202 to 355 matches the Rfam family "5.8S ribosomal RNA". The record is from RNAcentral. Lineage: Eukaryota; Fungi.
GUAGGUGACCUGCGGAAGGAUCAUUACUGAGUGAGGGCCCCUCGGGGUCCAACCUCCCACCCGUGUUUAACGUACCUUGUUGCUUCGGCGGGCCCGCCUCACGGCCGCCGGGGGGCAUCCGCCCCCGGGCCCGCGCCCGCCGAAGCCACCUGUGAACGCUGUCUGAAGUAUGCAGUCUGAGACAAUUAUUAAAUUAAUUAAAACUUUCAACAACGGAUCUCUUGGUUCCGGCAUCGAUGAAGAACGCAGCGAAAUGCGAUAACUAAUGUGAAUUGCAGAAUUCAGUGAAUCAUCGAGUCUUUGAACGCACAUUGCGCCCUCUGGUAUUCCGGAGGGCAUGCCUGUCCGAGCGUCAUUGCUGCCCUCCAGCCCGGCUGGUGUGUUGGGCCCCGCCCCCCUUCCCGGGGGGGCGGGCCCGAAAGGCAGCGGCGGCACCGCGUCCGGUCCUCGAGCGUAUGGGGCUUUGUCACCCGCUCUUGCAGGCCCGGCCGGCGCCAGCCGACCCCCUCAAUCUAUUUUUUCAGGUUGACCUCGGAUCAGGUAGGGAUACCCGCUGAACUUAAGCAUAUCAAUAAGCGGAGGAAAAGAAACCAACCGGGAUUGCCCUAGUAACGGCGAGUGAAGCGGCAAGAGCUCAAAUUUGAAAGCUGGCUCCUUCGGGGUCCGCAUUGUAAUUUGCAGAGGAUGCUUCGGGAGCGGUCCCCAUCUAAGUGCC